ACCUAAACGGCGAAACUGCGAAUGGCUCAUUAAAUCAGUUAUCGUAUAUUUGAUAGUACCUACUACAUGGAUAACCGUGGUAAUUCUAGAGCUAAUACAUGCUUAAAAUCCCGACUUCGGAAGGGAUGUAUUUAUUAGAUUAAAAACCAAUGCCCUUCGGGGCUCACUGGUGAUUCAUAAUAACUUCUCGAAUCGCAUGGCCUUGUGCCGGCGAUGGUUCAUUCAAAUUUCUGCCCUAUCAACUUUCGACGGCUGGGUCUUGGCCAGCCGUGGUUACAACGGGUAACGGAGGGUUAGGGCUUGACCCCGGAGAAGGAGCCUGAGAAACGGCUACUACAUCCAAGGAAGGCAGCAGGCGCGCAAAUUACCCAAUCCCGAUACGGGGAGGUAGUGACAAUAAAUACUGAUACAGGGCUCUUUUGGGUCUUGUAAUUGGAAUGAGUACAAUUUAAAUCCCUUAACGAGGAACAAUUGGAGGGCAAGUCUGGUGCCAGCAGCCGCGGUAAUUCCAGCUCCAAUAGCGUAUAUUAAAGUUGUUGCAGUUAAAAAGCUCGUAGUUGAACCUUGGGCCUGGCUGGCCGGUCUGCCUCACCGCAUGCACUGGUCCGGCCGGGCCUUUCCCUCUGGGGAGCCGCAUGCCCUUCACUGGGUGUGUCGGGGAACCAGGACUUUUACUGUGAAAAAAUUAGAGUGUUCAAAGCAGGCCUAUGCUCGAAUACAUUAGCAUGGAAUAAUAGAAUAGGACGUUGCGGUUCUAUUUUGUUGGUUUCUAGGACCGCCGUAAUGAUUAAUAGGGACAGUCGGGGGCAUCAGUAUUCAAUCGUCAGAGGUGAAAUUCUUGGAUCGAUUGAAGACUAACUACUGCGAAAGCAUUUGCCAAGGAUGUUUUCAUUAAUCAGGAACGAAAGUUAGGGGAUCGAAAACGAUCAGAUACCGUUGUAGUCUUAACCAUAAACUAUGCCGACUAGGGAUCGGGCGAUGUUUUUCUUUGACUCGCUCGGCACCUUACACGAAAGUAAAGUUU
Molecule: ribosomal RNA, 1024 nt
Filed under: Cryphonectria naterciae
Lineage: Eukaryota; Fungi; Ascomycota; Sordariomycetes; Diaporthales; Cryphonectriaceae
Description: SSU rRNA
Rfam family: Eukaryotic small subunit ribosomal RNA
Source: RNAcentral